CUGUAAUGUGUGAUAUCUGGUAGAGUCUCUCUGUCUGUAAUGUGUGAUAUCUGGUAGAGUCUCUCUGUCUGUAAUGUGUGAUAUCUGGUAGAGUCUCUCUGUCUGUAAUGUGUGAUAUCUGGUAGAGUCUCUCUGUCUGUAAUGUGUGAUAUCUGGUAGAGUCUCUCUGUCUGUAAUGUGUGAUAUCUGGUAGAGUCUCUCUGUCUGUAAUGUGUGAUAUCUGGUAGAGUCUCUCUGUCUGUAAUGUGUGAUAUCUGGUAGAGUCUCUGUAAUGUGUGAUAUCUGGUAGUCUCUGUAAUGUGUGAUAUCUGGUAGAGUCUCUGUAAUGUGUGAUAUCUGGUAGAGUCUCUCUGUCUGUAAUGUGUGAUAUCUGGUAGAGUCUCUCUGUCUGUAAUGUGUGAUAUCUGGUAGAGUCUCU
This is a non-coding RNA of Oncorhynchus mykiss (rainbow trout), 418 nucleotides long. The record is from RefSeq and is a predicted model, not a curated record. Lineage: Eukaryota; Metazoa; Chordata; Actinopteri; Salmoniformes; Salmonidae.